This 758-nucleotide long non-coding RNA is filed under the name Equus caballus (horse). RNAcentral's name for it is "lncRNA (ENSECAG00000052633.1)". Lineage: Eukaryota; Metazoa; Chordata; Mammalia; Perissodactyla; Equidae. The record is from RNAcentral.
GGACAGGUUUCAGCAGAGCUUCCAGACUAAGACCAGCUAGGAAGAAGGACAUGGCCACCUACCUCUGUAAAAAUUUGCCAUGAAAACCCUAUGAAUAGCAGCAGAGCAUUGUCUUACAUAGCACUGGAAGGUGAGAGGAUGGCGCAAAAAGACCGCACAGGGCUCCACACUUCUCUACACGUGGUUGCUAGGAGUCAGGAUCAACUGGAUGGCACUAACAACAGAAUCAUUCUGUAAAGGUUGCUUUCACACCUAAAUACGAGAGUGUGACGUCGAGAGUUGGUGUAAAAGACCAUAGGGCCCACAGGACAAAGAGAAUGGCUUCCUUAUGGCAGCCAUGACUGAAACUACAUCUGCCUCACCCUGACUUGUGGACAGUCAGCAGCCUGAUUCAAAUUGAAGAUCAUCUGGCAUGGGGCCUGACCUACUGAAAUAAGCAAAGUGCUAUUCUAUAAAAGGCAUGACAGACUGAAUACUUGCAAUAACAAAUAGUCCACUGCUUAUCCAGGAAACAAUGCACCUCCCACCCCCCGGCAUUGUUAGACACUCCAGAACUUCAAUAUGUCUUCCUUAUUCACUAGGUCCUGCUCCAAUUAGAGGGAAGUCUCAUCUCUUUCAGGAGUUAUCCCAUCCAUCUGGCAUGAGAAGUAGGCCCUAAUCCCAGCGAGAAGACAAAGUGCGUAAUAUGAAUGGUGAUGUAAGGCUCUAAGUAUAGUAGAAACAACAGUUGGAACAGUUGACAAUCCCAUACAUUUGAG